GAUGAACGCUAGCGGGAGGCCUAACACAUGCAAGCCGAGCGGUAUUGUUUCUUCGGAAAUGCGAGAGCGGCGUACGGGUGCGUAACACGUGUGCAACCUGCCUUUAUCUGGGGGAUAGCCUUUCGAAAGGAAGAUUAAUACUCCAUAAUAUAUUGAACGCCAUCGUUUAAUAUUUAAAGCUCCGGCGGAUAGAGAUGGGCACGCGCAAGAUUAGCUAGUUGGUGAGGUAACGGCUCACCAAGGCGAUGAUCUUUAGGGGGCCUGAGAGGGUGAUCCCCCACACUGGUACUGAGACACGGACCAGACUCCUACGGGAGGCAGCAGUGAGGAAGAUUGGUCAAUGGGUGCAAGCCUGAACCAGCCAUCCCGCGUGAAGGACGACUGCCCUAUGGGUUGUAAACUUCUUUUGGAUAGGGAUAAACCUACCCUCGAGAGGGUAGCUGAAGGUACUAUACGAAUAAGCACCGGCUAACUCCGUG
RNAcentral lists this ribosomal RNA (479 nucleotides) under uncultured bacterium. RNAcentral's name for it is "partial 16S ribosomal RNA". It matches the Rfam family "Bacterial small subunit ribosomal RNA", at positions 28 to 507 of the family's 1533-position model. The record is from RNAcentral.